This 253-nucleotide ribosomal RNA is filed under the name uncultured bacterium. Its description in RNAcentral is "partial 16S ribosomal RNA". It matches the Rfam family "Bacterial small subunit ribosomal RNA", at positions 524 to 776 of the family's 1533-position model. The record is from RNAcentral.
UACGUAGGGUGCGAGCGUUGUCCGGAAUUAUUGGGCGUAAAGAGCUCGUAGGCGGUUUGUCGCGUCUGCUGUGAAAUCCCGAGGCUCAACCUCGGGCCUGCAGUGGGUACGGGCAGACUGGAGUGCGGUAGGGGAGAAUGGAAUUCCUGGUGUAGCGGUGGAAUGCGCAGAUAUCAGGAGGAACACCGGUGGCGAAGGCGGGUCUCUGGGCCACUACUGACGCUGAGGAGCGAAAGCGUGGGGAGCGAACAGG